RNAcentral lists this ribosomal RNA (531 nucleotides) under Nigrospora sp. JL4-CGL24. Its description in RNAcentral is "eukaryotic LSU rRNA". The stretch from base 161 to 314 matches the Rfam family "5.8S ribosomal RNA". The record is from RNAcentral. Lineage: Eukaryota; Fungi; Ascomycota; Sordariomycetes; Amphisphaeriales; Apiosporaceae.
GGGGGGGCUCCGGAGUAUCACUCCCAAACCCAUGUGAACUUAUCUCUUUGUUGCCUCGGCGCAAGCUACCCGGGACCUCGCGCCCCGGGGGGCCCGCCGGCGGACAAACCAAACUCUGUUAUCUUCGUUGAUUAUCUGAGUGUCUUAUUUAAUAAGUCAAAACUUUCAACAACGGAUCUCUUGGUUCUGGCAUCGAUGAAGAACGCAGCGAAAUGCGAUAAGUAAUGUGAAUUGCAGAAUUCAGUGAAUCAUCGAAUCUUUGAACGCACAUUGCGCCCAUUAGUAUUCUAGUGGGCAUGCCUGUUCGAGCGUCAUUUCAACCCCUAAGCACAGCUUAUUGUUGGGACUCUACGGCUUCGUAGUUCCCCAAAGACAUUGGCGGAGUGGCAGCAGUCCUCUGAGCGUAGUAAUUCUUUAUCUCGCUUUUGUUAGGCGCUGCCCCCCCGGCCGUAAAACCCCCAAUUUUUUCUGGUUGACCUCGGAUCAGGUAGGAAUACCCGCUGAACUUAAGCAUAUCAAUAAGCGGAGGAA